Molecule: ribosomal RNA, 465 nt
Filed under: Vreelandella stevensii
Lineage: Bacteria; Pseudomonadati; Pseudomonadota; Gammaproteobacteria; Oceanospirillales; Halomonadaceae
Description: partial 16S ribosomal RNA
Rfam family: Bacterial small subunit ribosomal RNA
Source: RNAcentral
CCUACGGGUAGCAGCAGUGGGGAAUAUUGGACAAUGGGCGAAAGCCUGAUCCAGCCAUGCCGCGUGUGUGAAGAAGGCCUUCGGGUUGUAAAGCACUUUCAGUGGGGAAGAAAGCCUUGGGGCUAAUACCCUCGAGGAAGGACAUCACCCACAGAAGAAGCACCGGCUAACUCCGUGCCAGCAGCCGCGGUAAUACGGAGGGUGCGAGCGUUAAUCGGAAUUACUGGGCGUAAAGCGCGCGUAGGCGGUCUGAUAAGCCGGUUGUGAAAGCCCCGGGCUCAACCUGGGAACGGCAUCCGGAACUGUCAGGCUAGAGUGCAGGGGAGGAAGGUAGAAGUCCCGGUGUAGCGGUGAAAUGCGUAGAGAUCGGGAGGAAUACCAGUGGCGAAGGCGGCCUUCUGGACUGACACUGACGCUGAGGUGCGAAAGCGUGGGUAGCAAACAGGAUUAGAUACCCCGGUAGUC